Molecule: ribosomal RNA, 448 nt
Filed under: uncultured bacterium
Lineage: Bacteria
Description: bacterial SSU rRNA
Rfam family: Bacterial small subunit ribosomal RNA
Source: RNAcentral
UCCAGACUCCUACGGGAGGCAGCAGUGGGGAAUAUUGCACAAUGGGGGAAACCCUGAUGCAGCAACGCCGCGUGAGUGAGGAAGUAUUUCGGUAUGUAAAGCUCUAUCAGCAGGGAAUAGAAAAGAAGGUACCUGAAAAAGAAGCCCCGGCUAACUACGUGCCAGCAGCCGCGGUAAUACGUAGGGGGCAAGCGUUAUCCGGAUUUACUGGGUGUAAAGGGAGCGUGGACGGCCAAGCAAGCCGGGGGUGAAAGCCCGGGGCCCAACCCCGGGACUGCCCUUGGAACUGCAUGGCUGGAGUGCGGGAGGGGCAGGCGGAAUUCCUGGUGUAGCGGUGAAAUGCGUAGAUAUUAGGAGGAACACCAGUGGCGAAGGCGGCCUACUGGACGGUGACUGACGCUGAGGCUCGAAAGCGUGGGGAGCAAACAGGAUUAGAUACCCUCGUAGA